RNAcentral lists this ribosomal RNA (412 nucleotides) under Pristimantis cf. marmoratus ABGD cluster 259. RNAcentral describes it as "partial large subunit ribosomal RNA". It matches the Rfam family "Bacterial large subunit ribosomal RNA", at positions 1836 to 2457 of the family's 2925-position model. Lineage: Eukaryota; Metazoa; Chordata; Amphibia; Anura; Strabomantidae. The record is from RNAcentral.
CUUGUAACCAUAAGAGGUCCAGCCUGCCCAGUGAUUUUAUUUAACGGCCGCGGUAUUCUAACCGUGCGAAGGUAGCGCAAUCACUUGUUUUCUAAAUAAAGACCAGUAUGAAAGGCAUCACGAGAACUUAACUGUCUCCUUUCUCCAAUCAGUGAACCUAAUCUCCCCGUGAAGAAGCGGGGAUCCCCCUAUAAGACGAGAAGACCCUGUGGAGCUUAAAAUAUAAUAUCAACUACUGCCCCAAUUACCCCCCCCACUUCCCCAGCGGCACCCUGAUCACAUAUUUUUGGUUGGGGUGACCGCGGAGAAAAACUUACCCUCCGUGAUGAAAAAGAAUUCCCUUAAACAACAAGUUACAACUUUAUGUAUCAAAAAAUUGACAUUCAUUGACCCAAUAAAUUGAUUAACGAAC